This 245-nucleotide ribosomal RNA is filed under the name uncultured bacterium. RNAcentral describes it as "partial 16S ribosomal RNA". It matches the Rfam family "Bacterial small subunit ribosomal RNA", at positions 528 to 772 of the family's 1533-position model. The record is from RNAcentral.
UAGGGGGCAAGCGUUAUCCGGAUUUACUGGGUGUAAAGGGAGCGUAGACGGUGAAGCAAGUCUGGAGUGAAAGCCCGGGGCCCAACCCCGGGACUGCUCUGGAAACUGUUUGACUGGAGUGCAGGAGGGGCAGGCGGAAUUCCUGGUGUAGCGGUGAAAUGCGUAGAUAUCAGGAGGAACACCGGCGGCGAAGGCGGCCUGCUGGACUGCAACUGACGUUGAGGCUCGAAGGCGUGGGGAGCAAA